GUGUGAGUCACUUAGCCUGCAAGGGCUGACACUGUAAAGGACACAACUGUAUUACAGCUGUGUACUUCUAAAACGCCUUUGGAUGGCAUUCACUAGAGCAGUGCUUCUUCAUCUUUUUGAAACUGUGAAGCCUUAUACGAAACAAAUCUGACCUGUGAAAUCUCUAUGACAAUGCUGGAAAAAAAAGAUGCCACUUGAGGGCAGAUGACCCCACCCUCAUCACGCUGAAAUGUCCCAUCACUUUCUGUCUGAACUAUAUACAGGCAACAAUUCCUGGAAGGAAGCAUCUCAGUCUUGACCUGAGUCUACUGCAGGACGGAGCUCACCAACACAGCAGAUAGCCAUCAGAGGUUAUGUUUACUUUACUUGUUUACAUUAUUUUCUGUGCUGGACCAUUUAUUUCACUGCCAAGAGCCAUUUUUUCUUGUUUUGUUAUUAAAUGGGGUGUCCGUGUUAGCACCCCAACUUUUCUUUGGACUUUGUUUUUUCGCUCAUAUCUGACAGGGCAUAUGUGUUAGUGAAUUAAAUGUACAUAAUUUUGGUAUGGGAUAAUGAAAUCAAGAAGGUUCACAACAACAUGGUCAGACUGAUGUCGUAAAUUCUGAAGUUAUGCCACUUAAUUCUGCAUAUGUCAUCUGUUUUAAGUUUGCAUUUUUAUUAUUUUUUGUCACUGCUAUUACCAAAAUAAGAUGUGAUGUUAAACAAAGACAAAAACAACAGAUUGACUUGAUGGAUGCAUAGGAAUAUCUGCUUAGAAUGCAUCAUCCCAAGUGAAAGCACAUUUCUGUAAAAGCAAUCGACUUUAAAGACUCAUAAACUAUUUUUCUUAAUUUCGAUUUGCAAAUGCUAUAUUAAUUUGAAAAAAUGGCAAAGCAUAUACACUUGAAUCCUUUUAUAAGUAGAACUCUGAUCAAAAGCUUAAUAAAGAAGGAAAAUGAGAACUGUGUACAGUAAAAGCAUUAUAUUGGUGGCACAAUUACCUGUGCAAUUCAAAGGAUAAUCACAAGUGGUAAGCACAUUUACCUACAUUAUUAAGUCGUCUUAUUUCACAUUCUUGCUGUUCCUUCUUCCUUCUUAAGUGUGCAUUUUGUUCAUGUAGGCACUGAUUCUGUCUUGUAACUUCUUUUAAUGCUGCACACAUAUUUUCAUUUUCUUCCUAGAAAGAAAACAGCAACCAACAUCAUGCAACAUCUGCCCAUUUUGAGCAUUAAAAAUAUCAUAGGCCUUAAUCCUCACCCAAGUGUGAUCUUUUAUUGGUACUUGUGUUUUCCUUCAGGGUAGUUCCUCUACAACUCUUCUACACCAACAUGCAGUCUUGAUCUGCUGUUUCAGAGCCUCCAGAGAAGACACUGUUACAUCGCUCUUCAAGCCCUGCAGAAGAAAACAUGGAGUCACAGAAAAGAAAUGAACUGAUUGUCAGUCAGGCUUCUAGGAAAAGAUCACAACUCUCACAAUGGCAUCACACUGUUAUUCCUCUUCUGUGAUCACGUGCUUCCUUCUAUAAUGGCUGAAAUCAAAUAAUCUGUUAAUUAUAAGUUUUAAACAAUGUCACAAUUUGCUGUUUUCCCGGGAUGUCCUAUCUAAGAGGCCAGAGAAAAUCAAGAUGAAAAGAACUCCAGAUGUUCAAAGUGGGUUGUUUCCAUAUGUUGGACCAGGAAAAUUGCUGAUGAGAAUGGGCAUGGCCAUGCAGCGAACAGGAAGACAGCAGGAAAUAACACCAUUCCAUUAGAUCAGAAACAAAAGGUAACACAUAUCUUUUGGUCAUGAGACCUGGAACAAGUACAAAAGAAGAAUAUCCAGAAGAGCAGGUCAGUUUACUUCUGGAUGUUAAGGGAGAAAGAACUCAAUUGAAGACUGGCCAAAGGUAUAUUACAAAGGUAACUGGGAGACCAUACCCUACAAACCAAAGGAUAAUCUCCAAGUGGGCCUGGCAGAAUUACAAGAAAAGGCUGUAAUUUAUUAGUUUAAUAUAGCUGACAUUUUUCAAUGUAGUCUUCAACUAAAUCAGUAUUCUGAAGCAUUGCUGGCCUUUUGGAUAUUUCAGUGCCAUUGAAUGAUUACUUCAUAUUUAAUCUAUCUCUGUUUUCUAGAAAGAAGGGGGAUGAGGUAUCUGAUUUGAAUAAGACACAACAAUAUAAGGUUUACUACUCUGUAAUAUAUGUGUUGAAAUGAAACCAUGAGGUCAACAAAAUUAUUGAAAAAUUCUCUGUAUUGCAUGUGUGAGCAUGUAUAGUGAUUAAAAUAAAGUUUCAGUGUUACUGUGUUUAUAAAUGUGUCAAA
Molecule: long non-coding RNA, 2280 nt
Organism: Polypterus senegalus (gray bichir)
Lineage: Eukaryota; Metazoa; Chordata; Cladistia; Polypteriformes; Polypteridae
Exons: 4
Source: RefSeq, a predicted model, not a curated record